AGAGAGACAAAGUAUCAUGAGAUUAUGAAGGAGGAGGGGAAAUCCCCCUUACUCACUUAAGAGUUACAAAACAUCACUUAUGAGCUUAUAUAUGCUCUUUACAACUUGCAAUCAUAAACCUAAAUCUAAGGGCUGUUAUAACUUGAAUUUAAAUGGAUGAAUGAGAUGGAAAGAUGGUCUUGGUCGUGGCUGUGCUCUUCCUGAUGGAUAAUUGGUCCAUUUGAAUCUGGUCAAGGGAAGGCUGGCUCCUUAUUGGCUAGCUAAAGGCUCCCAUGAAUCUGCCCACUUCUUUUGCUAGAUACAUGGUCUCCUUUUGCUUUUACUUUACAGCAAGAGACUCUCCUUUCCAGCCUGUCACUCGCCAGCCUCUCCUUUGUCUUCUUCUCUUAAGAGUUUCACCAGUGCCCUAUUUUUGC
RNAcentral lists this long non-coding RNA (416 nucleotides) under Brassica napus (rape). RNAcentral describes it as "long non-coding RNA (BNAP_LNC008575)". The record is from RNAcentral. Lineage: Eukaryota; Viridiplantae; Streptophyta; Magnoliopsida; Brassicales; Brassicaceae.